Marmota monax (woodchuck) is the source of this 4414-nucleotide long non-coding RNA. RefSeq lists it as uncharacterized. The record is from RefSeq and is a predicted model, not a curated record. Lineage: Eukaryota; Metazoa; Chordata; Mammalia; Rodentia; Sciuridae. The transcript is spliced from 4 exons.
ACCACAAUGCUUGUUAAUACAUUAUACACAAAUCUAACAGAAUGUUUGAAUUCUCUGGUUGUAUUCACAGUAGGGUCACAUCAUUCGUGCAAUCAUACAUCUGCCUAGGUAAUAAUCUCAUCUCAUGUUCAUUCUGUCUAUUUAUCUACUUGUUUUUCAUGGGUGUGUUACAGAUAUCCAUGGAGCUACAAUUCACUGUGGUCAUUUAGUGUCUGUCCCCAUGUGAAUGGUGACAUUGUCUCACACUGUUUCCAGGCCUGUGUCCUCCUCAGUGAAAGUGGGGUCUCUGGUGUAUGAAAGUCACCAGUGUCCUCACCAUCCAAGGGACAUGUUCCAGACUAGGCUGAGGCCAGGGAGGCGUUGGACUUGGGGCCAAGUGUAAGGAGCUCCCCAAUGUGGGUAUUUUCAUGAAUUUUAUUUUAAUGUAAUAUUUUUAAAAAGUUAAAAUUUAUGCAAAAUAAUUCAAUAUGAAAAAAGUAAGAAAUUUAAAAAACUAAUGGAUCUAUCUUAAGAAUGAAGACUUAUCAGUAAAUUAUUGGUUUGUAAUGUGGCGAUCUGUAUUUGGAAAUUACUUUGGUCUGUGAAUUGUCCUUUUUCUGUCACCAGGUGUACUUGACCAGGGUUGCAGUGUGUAGUGAAGGAACAUGGGAUGGGAUGCCACCAGAGUAGUUAAAAACCAUCUCAUCAGCAGACAGAAAGCUGUGCAGUGCACAGAGAAACCUGUGGCAUUUCAUGACCUUGGCUGUCAGGAGAGUGUCCCCAUGAGGGCAGAGCCCUAGGAAUCUAGUUUCAUGGACCAAGAACACCUCCUGAACACACAUGUUCUGUCUGAGCCUGUUUUCUACAUGUAUGAUGAAGACAAAUGUCAGGCAGGGGUCUGGCUCCUCAUAGCUCUGUACCCUGAGAACAAAAGCAGUUCCUCAGCUUGGCUCUGAUCACAGGAGGGCCCCCUGAAGAGGAAGGCUGCUGAGCCACCUUCCUGGAAGCACGCAGUGCCUGAGAGUGGCCAGCAGAGGGCAGCACAGAAUCCUCUAUUUCCAGGUCAACUUCAGAUUCUCCAGGCGUGCUGGGAGCACAGAAGAGGUGUCUGCACCAUGUGUGUAUCAUGCUCAGGAGCUGGAGAGAGCAGGGGACACCAGGUCAUUGCUCCGGAUAAAAAGAUGGACUUUGGAACUGUUACAGACUCUACUUUUGCAGAUUAAAUGCCAGUAAUUAUCAUUUUCUUUAUUGAUCUUCUCAAAUUCAGGUGGGUCAAGUUUGAGCACACCAGGUGGUGUCAGGUUAGGCACCAUGGAGCCAUGUAACCUCAGAAUCAUUGCUCUGGAGUGUCCUCUUACCUGAAUGUCUCAGAGCCAGUCCCUUGCUCCUUCUGGAAUACUGUCUCACAUCAGUUGACCUCAGCUGCCUCAUCCUGGAGGAUAGACGUGCUCAUCCUUCACGUGGACACAGCACACAUGGACAGAAUGGGGGCCCAAGGCUCCCCUCCCUCUUCUUCUCCCUCCCCAUCCCCUCUGUCCUCACCAGGGAUCCAGAGCAGCAGCAGCCCCAGGAGCUGAGCAGGGAGCCUCAUUUUGAGAAGCUGAGCUGAGGAGUCCUGCCACUGCAGGCAGUUGAGGCAGCUGUAGAACUUCUGUGUCUGCUGUUAUCUGGAGAAACAGGGGAGUGUCAGGGACAAUGUUCGAUGGCAGCUUUUCCUGGCCUAGUGAAUGCAAUAAGGGCAGAAGAGUCAAAAUAAGGUGGUGGGGAAGGAAGAAGAAACCCUUGUGUCAACUGGAGAUCCAGCAGCCUGUUAAGGCAAUAGGAGAUGUGACAUGUCCACCUGAAUCUGGGUGUGAAAUUCCUGGGAACAAGAUCUUUAAAGUCGUGAACAUACUGUCUUCGUCAUCUUCAUGUGUGUGAUACUCAGAGUCUUCCCAUCACUUCCUCAGGGAAGAACCCCUUGAGGCCACUGGACAGAAUGGACAAGGGGGAGCAUUCUAGGUGCUUGUGAGGACAAGGUGAUGUCCCAGUUUCCAGGCUCCCUGGCAGUGUCUGCAGGAGACAUGGUCACCAUCAGCUGCAAGUCCAGCCAGAGUCUCUUAUCCAACCACAAGGACUACAUGGCCUGGCACCAGCAGAAGCUAGGACAGGUCCCAGGCUGCUGAACUCCUGGGCAUCCAUGUGGGCAGCUGGGGUCCCCUGGAGGUUCAGGGGCAGUGGGUCAGGGACAGAUUUCCCUCUCCAUCAGCAGCCCCAGGCUGAGGACAUGGCUGAUUGUUCCUAUAGCAGCACCGCAGUGGGUUCUUGGGGAUUGCCUAGGUGAGGAUGCUGGGUUAUUGGUGGCUGUUGGUCAAAGGCUAUUGUAGGACCCUGCAGGCCACCAAAAGGUCCUACCAUCUGGGCUGCUCAGUAAUGCGACCAGUAUAAAGAAUCCUUCCACCAGAGUGAGAGGCUGACUCCCUUUUAAGGGCUCUGAUGUGAAUCAAUCAGGCUCACCCAGAAUAAUCUCCUUUUGACUGACUUAAAAUGAACUGCCUUGGCAUGUUAAUUAUAUCUGCAUAAUAAUCCCUUCACCUUUCCAAUAUUUCUGAAACCAAAAGCAAACCUCAUAUUCUGUCAACUGUGCCCAUAUCUGUGGAUUAGUGAGUGUGAACAUCAGCUAGUAGGUGUCUUGAGGAGGGAAUAUUUCUUAUAAUAUUGAUAUUUUAAAAAAUUAUUUCUCCAAAAUAGUCCCUGUGAGAAGACCAUUAAGAAUAGAAGCUACUUUAGGUGAUGAGCAUCAGAAAUGUACCUUCAGGUGAUUUCUUACCCAGUUUCCCAGGUCCUCGUGUUUCUCAGAUUCUUGUCAAGUGAGAGAAAAUUCAGAUUAUCUAUUGCUUUAGGAACAAAUAUAAACACAUGAGGAACAAGUAAUGUAAUCAUAGGACUCUCAAUAUUUUUAAUAGUAAAGAAAUAAGAAAAGUUUAAUAUCCAUAGCCCAGUUUCUCUUUCAACAAACUAAUAAAAGAAGAGGUGACCAAACCCAAAUCAAGCCAAAUCAAGGAAAUCAAAUUAUAAAUACCAAAUCCUGAAAGAGUUUCUCAAGAUGGUCUUGGGUCAGAGGAAGGCGGCACUGUCCACCUGCCCCUCAGCUCAAGACUGUCAAUGUGAAGCUGUAACUUUCCUUGGGGACUCUGCCUCAUAGCUGCUCUGGGAGCUGCACCUCCCCUGUGAGCACUCUGCAACCUACAGGAUCCUGUACUGUGAGACAGAGCUGAGAGCUGCUGCAACCAGCUUUGGCUGAACUUUUCCUGAAUUUCAUGAUUUUACAACUUUUGGAGAGCUCACAAAGCUGUUUUGGAGAAUGUCUGACAAUUAGGAUGUUUGUCUACCACUCAUGGUAGAGUUUAGCUGCUGCAUCUCUGGCAGGGAUAUCUAGAAAUGAUGCUCUUCUGUUAGGGCUCCCUAGUGGGUGGUGCCUGAUUUCAAUCUGUCUCACUACUGCAGAUGUUCACAUUGAUUCCUGGGUUAAAGGAAUGUUCCAGACUUCUCUUUUGUAGUGCCUCUUUGGCUAUUUGAAAUGAACAUGUGGCUGGGGUGUGACUAAGUGGCAGAGCACUUACCUAGUACGCUCACGGUCCUCUCGAUGAUCCAUCUCAAACAAUAGAGCUCAAAAAGAGUUAACAUGAAAUUGUUGAAAAGUUCCUCAAUCCUUUAUAGAUAUCCCAUUCCUCUUCAAAGUACCAGUAUCAGGCUGAACUCAUGGAUCAUCUUUUGUUUAAUGGGCUAGUCUGUCCUAAUUACAAAUCUUGACUCUCAAGAUUAUCCAGACCUGGCCAGUGAGAGGCUCCUUCCUGGUAAUUUCUCUUUCCUUUUGCCAGGGUCUCAUCAUUUUUGGAGGACUUCUUUUAUUCCCAACUCAAGGUGGUGCAGGGGUUUCUUAUCCUAAGAUUCCUUUAGUGGCAAAUAAAUCUGGGCACUGUGAGUUCGUGUUGGGAGCAUGGGCUAUUGUGCCUGGGUUAAAGAGAAUGUGUAAAUAACUCUGUCAAUCAACCCAUCUAUGGACCAUAACAUCUAUCAUCUCCUGAUAUAUCUGCAUGCACACUCCUAUCUAUUCCUACAUACAAUUCUGAGUUUAUUCUGAUAUUUGUUUCUAGUCAAAAUCGUGUUUGUUCUAGCGAUGUCCCUUUUUGUUUGGGAUCUCUUCCACCUACAGUGAGAAUCCUGGCUCUGAUUGACUCUGGUGCAUUGUUUCCCACCAACAUUUCCCUGACUGAAAGCAACUUCUUGACAUUGGCCUGCCCUCCAUUAGACAGCCUCAUGGCCACUGGUGAAUGUACCUUGAUCCUGCUCUGAUACCCCUUGUCAGGACACAACCCAAUUUACACACAUGUACGGGUGCUGUGUCAAUUGCCUUUUGUCACUUUGAAAAAAACCUGGGGGUAAAACACUUAAG